GGGGCGGUGGCGGAACGGCAGACGCUGCGGACUUAAAAUCCGCUGGAGGAUAACUCCGUGCGGGUUCGAAUCCCGCCCGCCCUA
Molecule: transfer RNA, 84 nt
Filed under: Anaerolineae bacterium
Lineage: Bacteria; Bacillati; Chloroflexota; Anaerolineae
Description: tRNA-Leu
Rfam family: tRNA
About the family: Transfer RNA (tRNA) molecules are approximately 80 nucleotides in length. Their secondary structure includes four short double-helical elements and three loops (D, anti-codon, and T loops).
Source: RNAcentral